AGGACGAACGCUGGCGGCGUGCCUAACACAUGCAAGUCGAACGAGGUCCAACCGGUGGCAACACUGGUGAAGACCGAGUGGCGAACGGGUGAGUAACACGUGAGCAACCUGCCUCGAAGACUGGGAUAACCUCGGGAAACCGGGGCUAAUACCGGAUACGACCUCGAGCGGCAUCUCUUGAGGUGGAAAGCUCCGACGGUGAGGGAUGGGCCCGCGGCCUAUCAGCUUGUUGGUGGGGUAAUGGCCUAUCAAGGCUACGACGGGUA
RNAcentral lists this ribosomal RNA (266 nucleotides) under uncultured bacterium. RNAcentral describes it as "partial small subunit ribosomal RNA". It matches the Rfam family "Bacterial small subunit ribosomal RNA", at positions 26 to 285 of the family's 1533-position model. The record is from RNAcentral.